This 847-nucleotide long non-coding RNA is filed under the name Equus caballus (horse). Its description in RNAcentral is "lncRNA (ENSECAG00000060236.1)". The record is from RNAcentral. Lineage: Eukaryota; Metazoa; Chordata; Mammalia; Perissodactyla; Equidae.
AUAUGGUAGUCGAGAGCAUAUAGCAGACGCCUCAAGGAUGUGUAUUCUGAGACAUGAAGGAGGGUAGGCGUCGUCUUCGGUGAAGAAGUGCUGGGCAAACAGAAAUCAACAAAGGAUUCUGCAAAACAGUGUCAGGAUCAGCGGCUCCUGCAGCAUUUUAGAGAGCUCCCCUGGCCUCAGUGUGGAGAAGGGAUUAGAGGCAGGCAACACUGAAGAACUAGUUUGGAUACUGCCACAGUAACCAAGGCAAGAGAAGACGGUGUCUAGACACAGAAUAGAGGCAGUGGCAAUGAAGAGACAGAUGGGCUUGAAAAGCACUUGGAACAAAAAAGACAACUGACUGCUUGUGGUGGGUGUACAGCAUCAGAGGUGACACGUGGCUUCUGGCGUGGACAGUGCCAUUCACACUGCCAGUAGGGAGGGAGCAGGUCUCGGAGGAAGAUGACUUCAGUUUGGGACAUGAUGCAUUUGAGAAAUCUGUGGGACAUCCAACUGGAUGUACCCAGCAGACACUUGGAAAUGUGGCUGUGAAGCUUGGGGAGCAAUCUAAGCUAAAUAUGGCCUUUCAUUGGGCAUAGAACACCAUGGACAGCUUUUAGGAAGCAGAAGAAACAGAGAAAACUGCCCACUUGGACACUUCUGGAUCCAGACUUAGUUGGCAUUCAAGGUGGCAGAGACCAGGGGUCAAGAAACAAAGUUGCAGGUCCUUCUAGUUAUGGCAUGUGGGACGCCGCCUCAGCAUGGCCUGAUGAGCCGUGCCAUGUCCACACCCAGGAUCUGAACUGGCGAAACCCUGGGCCGCCGCAGCGGAGUACGCGAACUCAACCUUUCAACCACAGGGCCGGCC